CCCUUAGAUGUUCUGGGCCGCACGCGCGCUACACUGACGACUUCAACGAGUUUUUUUCAUUUGAAAAAGUCCUUGGCCGGAAGGUCUUGGUAAUCUUUUAAAAGGUCGUCGUGAUGGGGCUAGAUUCUUGCAAUUAUUAAUCUCCAACGAGGAAUUCCUAGUAAACGCAAGUCAUCAACUUGCAUUGAUUACGUCCCUGCCCUUUGUACACACCGCCCGUCGCACCUACCGAUUGAACGUUCCGGUGAGACCUUGGGAUUUGGUCUUUGGUACUUUAUUGUGCCGUUGACCGAAAAACUUGAGCAAACCUUAACGUUUAGAGGAAGGUGAAGUCGUAACA
Molecule: ribosomal RNA, 340 nt
Filed under: uncultured eukaryote
Lineage: Eukaryota
Description: partial 18S ribosomal RNA
Rfam family: Eukaryotic small subunit ribosomal RNA
Source: RNAcentral